This 253-nucleotide ribosomal RNA is filed under the name uncultured bacterium. Its description in RNAcentral is "partial 16S ribosomal RNA". It matches the Rfam family "Bacterial small subunit ribosomal RNA", at positions 524 to 776 of the family's 1533-position model. The record is from RNAcentral.
GACGUAGGAUGCAAGCGUUGUCCGGAUUUAUUGGGCGUAAAGAGUUCGUAGGCGGUUUGUUAAGUCUGGUGUUAAAGAUCGGGGCUCAACCCUGGGAGUGCACUGGAUACUGGCAGACUGGAGUGCAGUAGAGGCGAGUGGAAUUCCCAGUGUAGCGGUGAAAUGCGUAGAUAUUGGGAAGAACACCGGUGGCGUAAGCGACUCGCUGGGCUGUAACUGACGCUGAGGAACGAAAGCCAGGGGAGCGAAUGGG